This 29-nucleotide ribosomal RNA is filed under the name Pseudocercospora platanigena. Its description in RNAcentral is "partial 28S ribosomal RNA". The record is from RNAcentral. Lineage: Eukaryota; Fungi; Ascomycota; Dothideomycetes; Mycosphaerellales; Mycosphaerellaceae.
CUUAUCAAGAGCGAAGGAGCAUAUCAAUA